GAUGAAGAACGCAGCGAAAUGCGAUAAGUAAUGUGAAUUGCAGAAUUCAGUGAAUCAUCGAAUCUUUGAACGCACAUUGCGCCCCCUGGUAUUCCGGGGGGCAUGCCUGUUCGAGCGUCAUUUCAACCAUCAAGCCCCCGGCUUGUGUUGGGGACCUGCGGCUGCCGCAGGCCCUGAAAACCAGUGGCGGGCUCGCUAGUCACUCCGAGCGUAGUAAUACAUCUCGCUCAGGGCGUGCUGCGGGUUCCGGCCGUUAAAAAGCCUUAUUUACCCAAGGUUGACCUCGGAUCAGGUAGGAAGACCCGCUGAACUUAAGCAUAUCAAUAAGCGGAGGA
Molecule: unclassified non-coding RNA, 335 nt
Filed under: soil metagenome
Description: partial contains 5.8S ribosomal RNA, internal transcribed spacer 2, and large subunit ribosomal RNA
Rfam family: 5.8S ribosomal RNA (bases 1-120)
Source: RNAcentral